UUAGAGUUUGAUCCUGGCUCAGAACGAACGCUGGCGGCGUGGAUAAGACAUGCAAGUCGAACGAGAGAAUUGCUAGCUUGCUAAUAAUUCUCUAGUGGCGCACGGGUGAGUAACACGUGAGUAACCUGCCCCCGAGAGCGGGAUAGCCCUGGGAAACUGGGAUUAAUACCGCAUAGUAUCGAAAGAUUAAAGCAGCAAUGCGCUUGGGGAUGGGCUCGCGGCCUAUUAGUUAGUUGGUGAGGUAACGGCUCACCAAGGCGAUGACGGGUAGCCGGUCUGAGAGGAUGUCCGGCCACACUGGAACUGAGACACGGUCCAGACACCUACGGGUGGCAGCAGUCGAGAAUCAUUCACAAUGGGGGAAACCCUGAUGGUGUGACGCCGCGUGGGGGAAUGAAGGUCUUCGGAUUGUAAACCCCUGUCAUGUGGGAGCAAAUUAAAAAGAUAGUACCACAAGAGGAAGAGACGGCUAACUCUGUGCCAGCAGCCGCGGUAAUACAGAGGUCUCAAGCGUUGUUCGGAAUCACUGGGCGUAAAGCGUGCGUAGGCUGUUUCGUAAGUCGUGUGUGAAAGGCGCGGGCUCAACCCGCGGACGGCACAUGAUACUGCGAGACUAGAGUAAUGGAGGGGGAACCGGAAUUCUCGGUGUAGCAGUGAAAUGCGUAGAUAUCGAGAGGAACACUCGUGGCGAAGGCGGGUUCCUGGACAUUAACUGACGCUGAGGCACGAAGGCCAGGGGAGCGAAAGGGAUUAGAUACCCCUGUAGUCCUGGCAGUAAACGGUGCACGCUUGGUGUGCGGGGAAUCGACCCCCUGCGUGCCGGAGCUAACGCGUUAAGCGUGCCGCCUGGGGAGUACGGUCGCAAGAUUAAAACUCAAAGAAAUUGACGGGGACCCGCACAAGCGGUGGAGUAUGUGGCUUAAUUCGAUGCAACGCGAAGAACCUUACCUGGGCUUGACAUGUAAUGAACAACAUGUGAAAGCAUGCGACUCUUCGGAGGCGUUACACAGGUGCUGCAUGGCCGUCGUCAGCUCGUGUCGUGAGAUGUUUGGUUAAGUCCAGCAACGAGCGCAACCCCUGUUGCCAGUUACCAGCACGUGAAGGUGGGGACUCUGGCGAGACUGCCCAGAUCAACUGGGAGGAAGGUGGGGACGACGUCAGGUCAGUAUGGCCCUUAUGCCCAGGGCUGCACACGUACUACAAUGCCCAGUACAGAGGGGGCCGAAGCCGCGAGGCGGAGGAAAUCCUGAAAACUGGGCCCAGUUCGGACUGUAGGCUGCAACCCGCCUACACGAAGCCGGAAUCGCUAGUAAUGGCGCAUCGGCUACGGCGCCGUGAAUACGUUCCCGGGUCUUGCACACACCGCCC
RNAcentral lists this ribosomal RNA (1368 nucleotides) under uncultured bacterium. Its description in RNAcentral is "bacterial SSU rRNA". It matches the Rfam family "Bacterial small subunit ribosomal RNA". The record is from RNAcentral.